This 500-nucleotide ribosomal RNA is filed under the name uncultured bacterium. RNAcentral's name for it is "partial 16S ribosomal RNA". It matches the Rfam family "Bacterial small subunit ribosomal RNA", at positions 30 to 523 of the family's 1533-position model. The record is from RNAcentral.
AUUGAACGCUGGCGGAAUGCUUUACACAUGCAAGUCGAACGGCAGCACGGACUUCGGUCUGGUGGCGAGUGGCGAACGGGUGAGUAAUACAUCGGAACGUGCCCAGUCGUGGGGGAUAACGUAGCGAAAGCUACGCUAAUACCGCAUACGAUCUACGGAUGAAAGCGGGGGAUCGCAAGACCUCGCGCGAUUGGAGCGGCCGGUGGCAGAGUAGGUAGUUGGUGGGGUAAAGGCUCACCAAGCCGACGAUCUGUAGCUGGUCUGAGAGGACGACCAGCCACACUGGGACUGAGACACGGCCCAGACUCCUACGGGAGGCAGCAGUGGGGAAUUUUGGACAAUGGGCGCAAGCCUGAUCCAGCCAUUCCGCGUGCAGGAUGAAGGCCCUCGGGUUGUAAACUGCUUUUGUACGGAACGAAAAGGCUCUGGUUAAUACCUGGGGCUCAUGACGGUACCGUAAGAAUAAGCACCGGCUAACUACGUGCCAGCCGCCGCAGUAA